Molecule: ribosomal RNA, 2596 nt
Filed under: Pseudoalteromonas sp. NJ631
Lineage: Bacteria; Pseudomonadati; Pseudomonadota; Gammaproteobacteria; Alteromonadales; Pseudoalteromonadaceae
Description: bacterial LSU rRNA
Rfam family: Bacterial large subunit ribosomal RNA
Source: RNAcentral
UUAAGUGACUAAGCGUACACGGUGGAUGCCUUGGCAGUUGGAGGCGAUGAAGGACGUACUAACUUGCGAUAAGCCUAGUCAAGCCAGGAAGAGGCGCUUGAGACUACGUUUUCCGAAUGGGGAAACCCACCUGCUUGCAGGUAUCGUUAACUGAAUACAUAGGUUAACGAGGCGAACGCGGAGAACUGAAACAUCUAAGUACCCGUAGGAAAAGAAAUCAACCGAGAUUCCGAAAGUAGCGGCGAGCGAAAUCGGACCAGCCCUUAAGCUUUAGUGUAGUUAGUGGAACAUGCUGGAAAGCAUGACGAAACAGGGUGAUAGUCCCGUACACAAAAACUUAUCUAAAGUGAAAUCGAGUAGGUCGGAGCACGUGAAACUUUGACUGAAUAUGGGGGGACCAUCCUCCAAGGCUAAAUACUCCCAACUGACCGAUAGUGAACCAGUACCGUGAGGGAAAGGCGAAAAGAACCCCUGUGAGGGGAGUGAAAUAGAACCUGAAACCGUGUACGUACAAGCAGUAGGAGCCUACUUGUUGGGUGACUGCGUACCUUUUGUAUAAUGGGUCAGCGACUUAUAUUCUGUAGCGAGGUUAACCAUUUAGGGGAGCCGUAGCGAAAGCGAGUCUUAACUGGGCGCUUAAGUUGCAGGGUAUAGACCCGAAACCCGGUGAUCUAGCCAUGGGCAGGUUGAAGGUUGAGUAACAUCAACUGGAGGACCGAACCCACUAACGUUGAAAAGUUAGGGGAUGACCUGUGGCUAGGAGUGAAAGGCUAAUCAAACCGGGAGAUAGCUGGUUCUCCCCGAAAUCUAUUUAGGUAGAGCCUCGGACGAAUACUUACGGGGGUAGAGCACUGUUAAGGCUAGGGGGUCAUCCCGACUUACCAACCCUUUGCAAACUCCGAAUACCGUAAAGUAAUAUCCGGGAGACACACGGCGGGUGCUAACGUCCGUCGUGGAGAGGGAAACAACCCAGACCGUCAGCUAAGGUCCCAAAGUGUAUGUUAAGUGGGAAACGAUGUGGGAAGGCUAAAACAGCUAGGAGGUUGGCUUAGAAGCAGCCACCCUUUAAAGAAAGCGUAAUAGCUCACUAGUCGAGUCGGCCUGCGCGGAAGAUGUAACGGGGCUAAACAUACCACCGAAGCUACGGCUGCAGACUUUGUCUGCGGGGUAGGGGAGCGUUCUGUAAGUGGCUGAAGGUGUGCCGGGAGGCAUGCUGGAACUUUGUUCGCGGGGUAGGGGAGCGUUCUGUAAGUGGCUGAAGGUGUGCCGGGAGGCAUGCUGGACAUAUCAGAAGUGCGAAUGCUGACAUGAGUAACGACAAGAGGAGUGAAAAACUCCUCCGCCGGAAGACCAAGGGUUCCUAUCCCAUGUUAAUCAGGGUAGGGUGAGUCGACCCCUAAGGCGAGGCUGAAGAGCGUAGUCGAUGGGAAACGGGUUAAUAUUCCCGUACUCGGUAUGAAUGCGAUGGGGGGACGGAGCAGGCUAGGCAAGCAUGGCGUUGGUUGUCCAUGUGAAAGGCUGUAGGCUGGUGACUUAGGAAAAUCCGGGUUGCUAAGGCUGAGAGUCGAGACGAGCCACUAAGGUGGUGAAGUUGUUGAUGCCCUACUUCCAGGAAAAGCCUCUAAGCUUCAGUUCAUACUGAAUCGUACCCUAAACCGACACAGGUGGUCAGGUAGAGAAUACUAAGGCGCUUGAGAGAACUCGGGUGAAGGAACUAGGCAAAAUUGUACCGUAACUUCGGGAGAAGGUACGCUCUUGUUUGUGAAGGACUUGCUCUGUAAGCAAACGAGAGCCGCAGUGACCAGGUGGCUGGGACUGUUUAUUAAAAACACAGCACUGUGCAAAAUCGUAAGAUGACGUAUACGGUGUGACACCUGCCCGGUGCCGGAAGGUUAAUUGAUGGGGUUAGCUUAGGCGAAGCUCUUGAUCGAAGCCCCGGUAAACGGCGGCCGUAACUAUAACGGUCCUAAGGUAGCGAAAUUCCUUGUCGGGUAAGUUCCGACCUGCACGAAUGGUGUAACCAUGGCCACGCUGUCUCCACCCGAGACUCAGUGAAAUUGAAAUCGCAGUGAAGAUGCUGUGUACCCGCGGCUAGACGGAAAGACCCCGUGAACCUUUACUACAGCUUGGCACUGAACAUUGACCCUACAUGUGUAGGAUAGGUGGGAGGCUUUGAAGCAGAGACGCUAGUUUCUGUGGAGCCGACCUUGAAAUACCACCCUUGUAGUGUUGAUGUUCUAACUUAGGCCCCUGAAUCGGGGUUGAGGACAGUGCCUGGUGGGUAGUUUGACUGGGGCGGUCUCCUCCCAAAGAGUAACGGAGGAGCACGAAGGUUUGCUAAGUACGGUCGGACAUCGUACGGUUAGUGUAAUGGUAGAAGCAAGCUUAACUGCGAGACAGACACGUCGAGCAGGUACGAAAGUAGGUCAUAGUGAUCCGGUGGUUCUGAAUGGAAGGGCCAUCGCUCAACGGAUAAAAGGUACUCCGGGGAUAACAGGCUGAUACCGCCCAAGAGUUCAUAUCGACGGCGGUGUUUGGCACCUCGAUGUCGGCUCAUCACAUCCUGGGGCUGAAGUCGGUCCCAAGGGUAUGGCUG